CUAAAUCUAUACACUAUUUUCAUAAAUCUAAACAAAACAAAAAAAAGUUAUUUUAUUUUCAGUCCUAAUGAUCGCGAGUAACAUGAAUUUGAAGCCAUUGGCAGCAGCAGCCUCAUUUAGGUCCUUUUGCCUAAUAAGAAAAGCCACAGCUAAAAACUAAACGUUAAAACGGGAAAAAUGUUGAGUGCUAAGCAAUUCAUCAUGAUAGGACACUAAGCCGAACAUCACUCCGUGCUUCUUACAGUUCAUCCUGCACAAUAAACGUAGAACAAGCAAAUAAAGAAAAGGAUCGCGCCACAAUGUAAAGCAUUUAUGUAAACCAAUAGCAGAGGAAAGAGUCAUACAUGUACAUCAUCGUCCUCUGAAGCACUUGAUAGGCCACCUAUACAAAUUAAAUACCAAAGAUGUAAAGGCAAGGCAGGGGCAGAAAAGGAAGGACAGGAAAGAAUAUAACAACCAGCACGUGUUUACAAUAGAUUUGGUUAGUGGCUAUUAUAUAAGCAGAAGAAGAAGGGAAGAAAUGACAUCUAGAAAAUCAGGAAAAUCUGGAGAGAGUCUGGACCUCUCGAAAGUCCAUCUAUCUGUUUCUUUAUUGUCAUUUCAUUUUAGUUACUUCUAAUUGCAUUGGAGAGUAAUCUGUUGUUGAUGUUAAUUCAGAAUUUAUUUCAAUACAGUAAAUCAUAUUGAGUUGGCCUAGCUGAUUUAUGUGAAUUACUUAUUUUAGCUACUUAUUUUUCUUGAUUUCUACUUGUUAGUCUUCUUUGGCAACAGGGUUCCAUCAUUUUGGUAUCAGAGCAAGUUCCUGGAAUGAUGCUCACUGAUCGUGUAGGGGAAUUGGAGGGAAGAAUGGAAACUAUUCAGGCUGGGAUGGAAGUAAUGAAGUCUGAAAUGCAGUGGAUCCAUAGUAUAGAGAAGGACAUGAGUCUGAUGAUGGAGCAGUUUAAACUUGUGAUGUAUCGCUGGGAUGAUCGAGAAAGGGAAUGGAAAGCAAAAGGCCCAGAGGAGGUCCCUGAUUCAGAAUUCAUUGGAAACUCAACAAUAAGACCCAGGGAUGGAGAGCAAACUGGAGGACUGUGGCGACUGGAUUGUAGGAAUAGGAGACUGGAGAUUCCGGUAUUUGAAGGGGAGAAUCCAGAAGGGUGGGUGUUCAAGGCUGAACGAUAUUUUAACCUCACUCAGAUUUCUGAAGCAGAAAAGAUGGAGGCCGCCGCUAUUUGCUUUGAAGGAAAAGCUCUCUCAUGGUAUCAAUGGCAACAGAGACGUAAGAAGUUGACGAACUGGGAAGAAUUGAAAGGUCUAGUGCUGAAUCGUUUUCGAACAACCCAUGGUGGGACUAGCAAGGAGAGGUUCUUAGCUCUCUGGCAAGAAGGUUCAGUGAGGGAAUAUGGGUAAUGAUUUGAAACCUUGGUUGCACCGCUACCAAAGAUUCUUUAUGAAAUAUUAGAGGGACACUUCAUUAAUGGGCUGAAGGCAGAGGUGAAAGCUGAAUUAAGGGUACUAAGACCCAAUGGGAUAGAAGAAAUAAUGGAAAUGGCCCAAAGGAUAGAUGAGAAAAACAUGUUGGGUCAAGGGCAUUGGACCGGUCCAGCAAGAAAUAAGGCAGGAGGGUUUUCUUCCCAUCUCAAUUCCAACCCACCAAGAAGCAAUCUGAUGUCUUCCAUAAUGCACCCAACCCAUUCCAAUCAUUCUACUUCCAAUUAUUUCCCCUGAUUCAACCCAGCCUCGGUUCGCAACCAUCGUCGGUUGGGAAGAACGACAACUCCACCUUCAAACAACUAAGUGAGGCUGAAUUACAAGCGAAAAGGGAGAAGGGGCUAUGUUUCCGAUGCGAUGGAAAAUAUACUAUUGGGCAUAGGUGUAAAAACAAGGAGUUACAAGUGAUGUUGAUUCACGAGGAGGAGGGUACAACUACGAUCGAAGAAGUGGGGGAUAUCUUGCAGGAGAUAGAUGAGGAUAAAACGUUGGGUAAAGAUGGGAAAGCGAUGGAGCUCUCUAUCAAUUUGGUGGUAGGGUUAACUUCGUCCCAUACCAUGAAGGUUAAAUGGAGGAUUGGCGAGAAGGAGGUUGUGGUGUUGGUGGACUGUGGUGUGACACACAACUUUAUCUCAGUGGAAUUGGUCCAAAAAUUAGAAAUACACCGAACAGAGACAUUGGGAUAUUGUGUGAUCAUGGGAACAGGCUUUGCUGUGCAAGGAGCUGAAUUUUGUAAAGGAGUUGUCCUCAAGCUCCAAAAUCUAGAGAUUGUUGAUGAUUUCCUUUCCUUGGAGUUGGGCAGUUCUGACGUUAUAUGAGGGAUGAAGUGGUUGUCCUCCCUGCGGAAAAUGACAGUUGAUUGGCAGGCUUUGGUAAUGCGAUUCCAGGUAGGGGAGACGACAGUUACCUUACAAAGGGAUCCCAAUUUGAAUAAAACACUGGUCGGAUUAAAGGCGAUGAUGAAGGCAUUUAAGGAAAGAGGAGAGGGGAUCUUGUUGGAGCUCGAGAGCUUCGCAGUCGAAGUAAACGAUGGGGAUGAAAGGCAGACAUAGAUGCCAAAGGAGUUGGAAACAUUAUUGAGGGAAUUUGAGGGGGUCUUCCAAGAUUCGUGGGGAUUGCCAUCACACCGAGGUAGAGAUCAUGCAAUUAUACGCCAACCUGGGGCCGACCCAGUAAGCAUCAGGCCUUAUCGCUAUCCUUACAGUCAGAAAAAUGAGAUUGAGAAGUUGGUGAGGGAGAUGCUAGCUACAGGCAUAAUUUGGCCUAGUGUGAGCCCAUUUUUUAGCCCUAUGUUGUUGGUUAAGAAGAAGGAUGGAGGGUGGAGAUUUUGUGUGGACUAUCAAGCUCUCAAUAAAGCAACGGUGCCUAAUAAGUUCCCAAUUCCAAUAAUAGAAUAGUUGUUGGAUGAAUUGCACGGUGCCACCAUUUUCUCUAAACUAGAUUUGAAGGCGGGAUAUCAUCAAAUUCGGGUGGCAGCGGAGGAUAUCCCUAAAAUAGCCUUCCGUACUCAUGAAGGGCAUUAUCAGUUUUUGGUUAUGCCCUUUGGAUUAACGAACGCCCCAGCCACUUUUCAAGCUUUGAUGAACGAUAUUUUUAAGGAACGGUUGAGGAGGUCCGUGUUAUUUUUUUUUUAUGACAUCCUUGUUUACAGUCGAAAUUUGGAAGAACAUCGGGAGCAUUUGAGAGGGGUACUAAAAAUAUUAGAGGAGCAACAACUGUACUUAAAUCGAAAGAAAUGCAUAAUUGGUCAGCAAGAGAUAGAAUACUUGGGGCGCGUCAUAUUGCAACAAGGGGUGGCAGCCGACAAAGUUAAACUUCAAGCAAUGGUAGAUUGGCCACCUCCACGAUCUCUCCGAGAGCUUCGCGAUUUUUUGGGUUUGAUGGGAUAUUAUAGGGGUUCGUGAAGGAUUAUGGAAAACUUGCCUGGCCAUUAACAGAGAGAUUAAAGAAGAAUAACUUUUAUUGGGAUGAGGUGGCUGAAAAGGCUUUUAAGGAGUUAAAGAAGAAGAUGAUAACACUGCCAGUUUUAGGCCUACCAGACUUUACUAAAACUUUCAUUGUGGAGACAGAUGCUUCUAGUCAUGGUUUGGGAGAGGUGUUGAUGCAAGACCAGCGUCCCAUUGCUCUCUUCAGUCAUACAUUGCAUCCGAAGGGGAGGGAAAAAUCAUUCUAUGAGAGAGAACUCGUGGCUAUAGUUUUUGCAGUUCAGAAAUGGAGACAUUAUCUCUUAGGCCACCAUUUCAUUAUUAGGACGGACCAGAGAAGUUUGAAAUUUUUAUGGGAACAGAGGUUAAUUAAUCUUGAGUAUCAGAAGUGGAUGGUGAAACUCAUGGGAUUCCAAUUUGAAAUUCAGUAUAAGCUGGGCUUGGAGAAUAAAGCAGCCGAUGCCCUAUCGCGAGUUCCUCACUCUCCGACGUUGAUGGCAUUAUCUCUACCAGGGAUAGAACAAUUGGAAGCGCUGGAGAGAGAAGUUGCUGAGGAUAACACCUUACAGAAAAUUGUUGAAGAGCUCAAACAACAUCCUUCCGAUUGGCCAGAUUACUCAAUCUGUAAAGGACAGUUAUUGUAUAAAGGAAGAUUGAUGUUACCCAAGGGUUCAACUUUGAUGCCCUUGGUGUUGUCUGAGGGUCAUGAUGGCAGCUUGGGAGGACACUCAGGGUUCUUGAAGACAUACAAGAGAAUCAAUUCGAAUGUGUAUUGGGUUGGCAUGAAGAAAGAUAUCCAUCGGUAUGUCAAAAAUUGCUCCAUUUGUCAGCAACAUAAGUAUGAAGCGCUAUCUCCAGGUGGGCUAUUGCAACCUCUAGCAAUACCGAACCAAGUAUGGGAAAAUAUCACCAUGGAUUUUGUAGAGGGACUACCCAAGUCUGGAGGCUGGGAUUCAAUAUUGGUUGUAGUGGAUAGACUGAGUAAGUAUGCACAUUUUAUAGCCUUAAAGCACCCUUUUUCGGCUGUUGGGGUUGCAAGGACUUUUGUAAAGGAGAUUGUGAGGCUCUAUGGAAUACCACGCUCUAUUAUAUCAGACAGAGAAAAAAAUUUCAUGAGCAGGUUCUGGGAAGAAUUGUUUAGGCUGCAGGGCACAAAAUUAUGUCGCAGCACCACCUAUCAUCCACAAUCAGAUGGUCAGUCGGAGGUGGUCAAUCGAACAGUGGAAAUGUAUCUUCGAUGCUUUGCUUCUUCUAAACCAAAGUCAUGGGUCAGCUGGCUGCCGUGGGCUGAACUUUGGUAUAAUACUUCACAUCAUACUUCAUCUAAAAUCUCUCCGUUUCAGAUUUUGAAUGGGAGGGAACCCCCAUUAUUAGUCAGGUUUGAGAGAGGUUCUACUCCAGUGUCGGUAGUGGAACAACAACUGAUAGAAAGGGAUGAAGUGUUGGAAGAACUAAGAGGGCAGCUACUCCGUGCUCAAUCACACAUGAAAAAGACAUCAGAUAGUAAGAGGAGGAAUGUCCAGUUCAACAUUGGGGACCGGGUGUAUCUUAAAAUACGGCCUUAUCAUCGUAAAACCUUA
This 4978-nucleotide long non-coding RNA is filed under the name Olea europaea subsp. europaea. Lineage: Eukaryota; Viridiplantae; Streptophyta; Magnoliopsida; Lamiales; Oleaceae. The record is from RNAcentral.